RNAcentral lists this transfer RNA (73 nucleotides) under Stegodyphus mimosarum. It matches the Rfam family "tRNA". From Rfam's summary of the family: Transfer RNA (tRNA) molecules are approximately 80 nucleotides in length. Their secondary structure includes four short double-helical elements and three loops (D, anti-codon, and T loops). The record is from Rfam by way of RNAcentral. Lineage: Eukaryota; Metazoa; Arthropoda; Arachnida; Araneae; Eresidae.
GCCUUCGUGGUGUAGUGGUCAGCACACUGGAUGCGUAUUCGAGAGGUUGGUGGUUCGAGUCCCCCCGAAGGCA